GUCUUCUAAGCAGUGCAGUGUAAGGUGCUGUUGCAUUCAAUAUGAAGGAGAUGGUAGGAGGAUGCUGUGUAUGCUCUGAUGAGUAUAAUUGGCCCGACAACCCGCUAGUUUAUUGUUUUGGGUGUACUGCUGCAGUUCAUCAAGCCUGUAGCAGGAUAAUUGGUGUUCCUACAGGAACCUGGUUCUGCCGGAAGUGUCGGAGUUCCAAAACCAAAACCAAAACCAAAGUU
Molecule: long non-coding RNA, 230 nt
Organism: Pieris napi
Lineage: Eukaryota; Metazoa; Arthropoda; Insecta; Lepidoptera; Pieridae
Exons: 3
Source: RefSeq, a predicted model, not a curated record